This 497-nucleotide ribosomal RNA is filed under the name uncultured bacterium. Its description in RNAcentral is "partial 16S ribosomal RNA". It matches the Rfam family "Bacterial small subunit ribosomal RNA", at positions 28 to 507 of the family's 1533-position model. The record is from RNAcentral.
GAUGAACGCUGGCGGCGUGCCUAAUACAUGCAAGUCGAGCGAACAGAUGAGGAGCUUGCUCCCCUGACGUUAGCGGCGGACGGGUGCUUAACAUGUGGAUAACCUACCUCUCAGACUGGGAUAACUUCGGGAAACCGGAGCUAAUACCGGAUAAUAUAUUGAACCUCAUGGUUCACUAGUGAAAGACGGUUUUGCUGUCACUUAUAGAUGAAUCCGCGCCGCAUCAGCUAGUUGGUAAGGUAACGGCUUAACAAGGCGACGAUGCGUAGCCGACCUGAGAGGGACAACGGACAGACUGGAUGUGAGACACAGUACAGACUCCUGCGGGGGGAAGCAGUAGGGAAUCUUACGCGAUGGGGGAAAGCUGGACAGAGCAACACGGCGUGAGUGAUGAAGGUCUUAGGACCGUAAAGCUAUGUAAUUAGGAAAGAACAAAUGUGUAAGUAACUAGGCUCGUCUUGACGGUACCGAAUCAGAAAGCCACGGCUAACUACGUG